AGAGGAAAACACACUAUAUGGAGAGAAGUACAAAUAAAGUAUUUCUGAACAAUAAAGGACAGAGUAAGAUAAUGAAUACCUGGAAUUACAUAUUAUUACUAGUUAGUAGAUCUCUUCUGUCAUCAUUAUUUAACCAUACACCGGUGACGUCAGAAGGGACGUGAUUUCCUCAUAUGAAAGUGAAAGUAACUGUGGUUACAAAAUGUAGCGCACAUUUCUCUGCAACAUUAGAAGCAGGAUAAAUGUGUUGAUUUGAAGGACAGACUGACAGACUCUGGAUCCAUUUUGAGAUGACAGAGCAGAAAACACUAUAUGGACAAUACUGACAAAUAAAGUAAGUAUUUAUGAACAAUAAUUCAUUCUAAAUGACAGAGUAAGAGAAUGAAUACUAGGAAUGAGAUAUUACUAGUUAGUAGAACUGCUACUUGAGCUGAGUUGCUGACAGACAGCAGUUUUAAAAGUGGAAACUAAUCAGUAGGUCUACAUGUUAUCAGUAAAACGUCUGGUAAAGAUGGCGGAGGAGCUUUUACAUUAUAUGGUUUUAUGUUUAUCUCAGGGUUUCUCAAUCCUUUUGUUCUUACCAGCACUUACACACCUGAUUCAACUAAUCAUUAAAUAUUUUAUGACAGUUUAAUAUUUGAGGCAUACAAAUUAACAUUCUCAAAUAAUUAAAACCUUUUGGGUUUGUAGGCCUGUUAACAAUUAUUAUAGUCCUACAGUAACUCACAUUCUGGAGGAAAAAGCACAGCUAAAAUUGGUUUCCAGUAAAUUAUAUGUUUAUCAAAAAUAAUGUAAGAGAGAUGUCUUGAAGAAACGCAUCUGGGUUUAGAACUCUGUGUCUCAGUGCCCUGCGACAGUGGAAAGUUCGUUUUGCAUGGCCCGGUGCUACAGGUGAGUGGAGUUUUAUUUUAAGGCACAAUGGAAUGGUCUAAAAUGCGUAAACUCUGCUCACCCGGGGAGCCGGGCAAUGCAAAACGAAUUCACCCAGUGACCGUUACAUUAUUUCCUUAUAUGAAAUUGAAAGUAACUUUGUAGCCCACGCAGUUACAAAAUGUCUGUUGAAACUGUGGCUCAUAUGUCUCUAGAAUAUUAGAACAGUGGUGGAAAAAGUACUCAAUUCUCAUACUUGAGUAAAAGUAAAGAUACCUUUAUAGAAAAUGACUCAAUUAAAAGGGAAAGUCACCCAGUAAAAUACUUCUUCAGUAAAAGUCAAAGUAUUUGGUUUCAAAUAUAAUUAAGUAUCAAAAGUAAAUGUAAUUGCUAAAAUAUACUUAAGCAUCAAUAGUAAAAGUAAAGAAGUGAUAGUUUAAAAUUCCUUUUAUUAAGCAAACCAGACGGCACAAUUUUCUUGUUAUUUUAAUUUACGGAUAGCCAGG
This 1376-nucleotide long non-coding RNA is filed under the name Salmo salar (Atlantic salmon). Its description in RNAcentral is "lncRNA (ENSSSAG00000122039.1)". The record is from RNAcentral. Lineage: Eukaryota; Metazoa; Chordata; Actinopteri; Salmoniformes; Salmonidae.